AAACUAACAAGGAUUCCCCUAGUAGCGGCGAGCGAAGCGGGAAGAGCUCAAAUUUAUAAUCUGGCACCUUCGGUGUCCGAGUUGUAAUCUCUAGAAAUGUUUUCCGCGUUGGACCGCACACAAGUCUGUUGGAAUACAGCGGCAUAGUGGUGAGACCCCCGUAUAUGGUGCGGACGCCCAGCGCUUUGUGAUACAUUUUCGAAGAGUCGAGUUGUUUGGGAAUGCAGCUCAAAUUGGGUGGUAAAUUCCAUCUAAAGCUAAAUAUUGGCGAGAGACCGAUAGCGAACAAGUACCGUGAGGGAAAGAUGAAAAGCACUUUGGAAAGAGAGUUAACAGUACGUGAAAUUGUUGGAAGGGAAACGCUUGAAGUCAGACUUGCUUGCCGAGCAAUCGGUUUGCAGGCCAGCAUCAGUUUUCCGGGAUGGAUAAUGGUAAAGAGAAGGUAGCAGUUUCGGCUGUGUUAUAGCUCUCUACUGGAUACAUCCUGGGGGACUGAGGAACGCAGUGUGCCUUUGGCGGGGGUUUCGACCUCUUCACACUUAGGAUGCUGGUGGAAUGGCUUUAAACGACCCGUCU
Molecule: ribosomal RNA, 576 nt
Filed under: Rhodotorula mucilaginosa
Lineage: Eukaryota; Fungi; Basidiomycota; Microbotryomycetes; Sporidiobolales; Sporidiobolaceae
Description: eukaryotic LSU rRNA
Rfam family: Eukaryotic large subunit ribosomal RNA
Source: RNAcentral